This 253-nucleotide ribosomal RNA is filed under the name uncultured bacterium. RNAcentral's name for it is "partial 16S ribosomal RNA". It matches the Rfam family "Bacterial small subunit ribosomal RNA", at positions 524 to 776 of the family's 1533-position model. The record is from RNAcentral.
UACGAAGGGGGCUAGCGUUGUUCGGAAUCACUGGGCGUAAAGCGCGCGUAGGCGGAUUGUUAAGUCAGGGGUGAAAUCCCGAGGCUCAACCUCGGAACUGCCUUUGAUACUGGCGAUCUCGAGUCCGGGAGAGGUGAGCGGAACUCCGAGUGUAGAGGUGAAAGUCGUAGAUAUUCGGAAGAACGCCAGUGGCGAAGGCGGCUCACUGGCCCGGUACUGACGCUGAUGUGCGACAGCGUGGGGAGCAAACAGG